GACGAACGCUGGCGGCGUGCUUAACACAUGCAAGUCGAACGAUGAAGCCGGAGCUUGCUCUGGUGAAUUAGUGGCGAACGGGUGAGUAACACGUGAGUAACCUGCCCUUGACUCUGGGAUAACUGCGGGAAACUGUAGCUAAUACCGGAUAUGACCCUCGGGGGCAUCUCCUGGGGGUGGAAAGAAUUUCGGUCAAGGAUGGACUCGCGGCCUAUCAGCUAGUUGGUGAGGUAAAGGCCCACCAAGGCGACCACGGGUAGCCGGCCUGAGAGGGUGGCCGGCCACACUGGGACUGAGACACGGCCCAGACUCCUACGGGAGGCAGCAGUGGGGAAUAUUGCACAAUGGGCGCAAGCCUGAUGCAGCAACGCCGCGUGAGGGAUGACGGCCUUCGGGUUGUAAACCUCUUUUAGCAGGGAAGAAGCGAAAGUGACGGUACCUGCAGAAAAAGCACCGGCUAACUACGUGCCAGCCGCCGCCGUAA
RNAcentral lists this ribosomal RNA (484 nucleotides) under uncultured bacterium. RNAcentral's name for it is "partial 16S ribosomal RNA". It matches the Rfam family "Bacterial small subunit ribosomal RNA", at positions 28 to 523 of the family's 1533-position model. The record is from RNAcentral.